CUCGAUCACUCCUACGGGAGGCAGCAGUGGGGAAUAUUGCACAAUGGGGGAAACCCUGAUGCAGCCAUGCCGCGUGUGUGAAGAAGGCCUUCGGGUUGUAAAGCACUUUCAGUAGGGAGGAAGGUAGUGUAGUUAACACCUGCACUAUUUGACGUUACCUACAGAAGAAGCACCGGCUAACUCCGUGCCAGCAGCCGCGGUAAUACGGAGGGUGCGAGCGUUAAUCGGAAUUACUGGGCGUAAAGCGCAUGCAGGCGGCCUGUUAAGUCAGAUGUGAAAGCCCGGGGCUUAACCUCGGAAUUGCAUUUGAAACUGGCAGGCUAGAGUCUUGUAGAGGGGGUAGAAUUUCAGGUGUAGCGGUGAAAAUGCGUAGAGAUCUGAAGGAAUACCAGUGGCGAAGGCGGCCCCCUGGACAAAGACUGACGCUCAGAUGCGAAAGCGUGGGGAGCAAACAGGAUUAGAUACCCUGGUAG
This 473-nucleotide ribosomal RNA is filed under the name uncultured bacterium. RNAcentral's name for it is "bacterial SSU rRNA". It matches the Rfam family "Bacterial small subunit ribosomal RNA", at positions 328 to 793 of the family's 1533-position model. The record is from RNAcentral.